This 253-nucleotide ribosomal RNA is filed under the name uncultured bacterium. Its description in RNAcentral is "partial 16S ribosomal RNA". It matches the Rfam family "Bacterial small subunit ribosomal RNA", at positions 524 to 776 of the family's 1533-position model. The record is from RNAcentral.
UACGAAGGGGUCUAGCGUUGUUCGGAAUUACUGGGCGUAAAGCGCACGUAGGCGGAUUGUUAAGUGAGGGGUGAAAUCCCAGGGCUCAACCCUGGAACUGCCUUUCAUACUGGCAAUCUCGAGUCCGAGAGAGGUGAGUGGAAUUCCGAGUGUAGAGGUGAGAUUCGUAGAUAUUCGGAGGAACACCAGUGGCGAAGGCGGCUCACUGGCUCGGUACUGACGCUGAGGUGCGAAAGCGUGGGGAGCAAACAGG